Molecule: ribosomal RNA, 497 nt
Filed under: uncultured bacterium
Lineage: Bacteria
Description: partial 16S ribosomal RNA
Rfam family: Bacterial small subunit ribosomal RNA
Source: RNAcentral
GACGAACGCUGGCGGCGUGCCUAAUACAUGCAAGUUGAGCGAUGAAGAUUGGUGCUUGCACCAAUUUGAAGAGCAGCGAACGGGUGAGUAACGCGUGGGGAAUCUGCCUUUGAGCGGGGGACAACAUUUGGAAACGAAUGCUAAUACCGCAUAACAACUUUAAACAUAAGUUUUAAGUUUGAAAGAUGCAAUUGCAUCACUCAAAGAUGAUCCCGCGUUGUAUUAGCUAGUUGGUGAGGUAGAGGCUCACCAAGGCGAUGAUACAUAGCCGACCUGAGAGGGUGAUCGGCCACAUUGGGACUGAGACACGGCCCAAACUCCUACGGGAGGCAGCAGUAGGGAAUCUUCGGCAAUGGACGAAAGUCUGACCGAGCAACGCCGCGUGAGUGAAGAAGGUUUUCGGAUCGUAAAACUCUGUUGGUAGAGAAGAACGUUGGUGAGAGUGGAAAGCUCAUCAAGUGACGGUAACUACCCAGAAAGGGACGGCUAACUACGUG